CUGGCCCUGAAUCAAGGCUGUUGGUUUCAAGCAGAAGCCUAAAGAGAUGUCUUUCUAUGGUCUGUUGGCCAUUUCAGAACUUGGGCAGUGAAAUGGUCAAUUCAUUAGAAAGCAACAGCU
Molecule: small nucleolar RNA, 120 nt
Organism: Cavia porcellus (domestic guinea pig)
Lineage: Eukaryota; Metazoa; Chordata; Mammalia; Rodentia; Caviidae
Source: Ensembl